GCGACCGCGACCAGGGGAAAAAGAAGGGGAGAAACCCUACUUCAUCAAUUGAACUCCAAAUUCAGCAAAUUAGUAGUGAUUCUUGGCACAAUUCGAAUGCAUGUGUUUAAAUACUCUAUAAUCCAAGUGAGUGAAAGAAGAAGGAGCUAAUUCCGGUUCGCAACAAAAGGCUCAAGAACGAGGUAAAUCUCAAGCUUAAAUGCUAUUGCCUCGCUCGGAACCGAACACACCUUGAACGCCUUUAUGCGUUUCCGCAAUUUUUGAAGUAUCAUCAAUGGGUCAAUACUUUUGUUAAAUUAGGCUAAGUUUGAUAGUUAAAGUCUAAACUUGAAGUUGUAAAUCUUUUGUCAAAAUACUAGUUGUAAUGGUUGUUUGAAAGGUCUUUAAAAUUUUAUGAGUU
RNAcentral lists this long non-coding RNA (400 nucleotides) under Helianthus annuus (common sunflower). RNAcentral describes it as "hypothetical non coding rna". The record is from RNAcentral. Lineage: Eukaryota; Viridiplantae; Streptophyta; Magnoliopsida; Asterales; Asteraceae.